RNAcentral lists this ribosomal RNA (496 nucleotides) under uncultured bacterium. Its description in RNAcentral is "partial 16S ribosomal RNA". It matches the Rfam family "Bacterial small subunit ribosomal RNA", at positions 29 to 507 of the family's 1533-position model. The record is from RNAcentral.
AUGAACGCUGGCGGCGUGCCUCAUACAUGCAAGUCGAGCGAACGGACGAGAAGCUUGCUUCUCUGAUGUUAGCGGCGGACGGGUGAGUAACACGCGGAUAACCUACCUAUAAGACUGGGAUAACUUCGGGAAACCGUAGCUAAUACCGGAUAAUAUUUUGAACCGCAUGGUUCAAAAGUGAAAGACGGUCUUGCUGUCACUUAUAGAUGGAUCCGCGCUGCAUUAGCUAGUUGGUAAGGUAACGGCUUACCAAGGCAACGAUGCAUAGCCGACCUGAGAGGGUGAUCGGCCACACUGGAACUGAGACACGGUCCAGACUCCUACGGGAGGCAGCAGUAGGGAAUCUUCCGCAAUGGGCGAAAGCCUGACGGAGCAACGCCGCGUGAGUGAUGAAGGUCUUCGGAUCGUAAAACUCUGUUAUUAGGGAAGAACAUAUGUGUAAGUAACUGUGCACAUCUUGACGGUACCUAAUCAGAAAGCCACGGCUAACUACGUG